Molecule: ribosomal RNA, 555 nt
Filed under: Nigrospora oryzae
Lineage: Eukaryota; Fungi; Ascomycota; Sordariomycetes; Amphisphaeriales; Apiosporaceae
Description: eukaryotic LSU rRNA
Rfam family: 5.8S ribosomal RNA (bases 186-339)
Source: RNAcentral
CUUCUGUAGCGGUACCUGCGGAGGGAUCAUUACAGAGUUAUCCAACUCCCAAACCCAUGUGAACAUAUCUCUUUGUUGCCUCGGCGCAAGCUACCCGGGACCUCGCGCCCCGGGCGGCCCGCCGGCGGACAAACCAAACUCUGUUAUCUUCGUUGAUUAUCUGAGUGUCUUAUUUAAUAAGUCAAAACUUUCAACAACGGAUCUCUUGGUUCUGGCAUCGAUGAAGAACGCAGCGAAAUGCGAUAAGUAAUGUGAAUUGCAGAAUUCAGUGAAUCAUCGAAUCUUUGAACGCACAUUGCGCCCAUUAGUAUUCUAGUGGGCAUGCCUGUUCGAGCGUCAUUACAACCCCUAAGCACAGCUUAUUGUUGGGCGUCUACGUCUGUAGUGCCUCAAAGACAUUGGCGGAGCGGCAGCAGUCCUCUGAGCGUAGUAAUUCUUUAUCUCGCUUCUGUUAGGCGCUGCCCCCCCGGCCGUAAAACCCCCAAUUUUUUCUGGUUGACCUCGGAUCAGGUAGGAAUACCCGCUGAACUUAAGCAUAUCAAUAGGCCGGAGGAA